GCUAGAUUAGCAAGAAUUUAUGAGUAUGAGACGUGAGCUUACUGGACACACUCAACUGCCCCAAAAUGCAUUGCGGCUCUUCUGACUGUCCAGUGG
Molecule: long non-coding RNA, 96 nt
Organism: Sebastes umbrosus (honeycomb rockfish)
Lineage: Eukaryota; Metazoa; Chordata; Actinopteri; Perciformes; Sebastidae
Exons: 4
Source: RefSeq, a predicted model, not a curated record